AGGACGAACGCUGGCGGCGUGCUUAACACAUGCAAGUCACGGGGGGUCGCAAGACCAACCGGCGAACGGGUGCGUAACACGUGAGCAACCUGCCUUAGUGUGGGGGAUAGCCGGCCCAACGGCCGGGUAAUACCGCAUACGAUCGUUGAGAGGAGUCUCUUGACGAGGAAACCUCCGGGGCACUAAGAGGGGCUCGCGGCCUAUCAGCUAGUUGGCGAGGUAACGGCUCACCAAGGCGACGACGGGUAGC
This 250-nucleotide ribosomal RNA is filed under the name uncultured bacterium. Its description in RNAcentral is "partial small subunit ribosomal RNA". It matches the Rfam family "Bacterial small subunit ribosomal RNA", at positions 26 to 287 of the family's 1533-position model. The record is from RNAcentral.